UACGGAGGGUGCAAGCGUUAUCCGGAUUCACUGGGUUUAAAGGGAGCGUAGGUGGGUUUGUAAGUCAGUGGUGAAAUCUCCGUGCUUAACAUGGAAACUGCCAUUGAUACUAUAGGUCUUGAAUUAUCUGGAGAUUAGCGGAAUAUGUCAUGUAGCGGUGAAAUGCUUAGAUAUGACAUAGAACACCAAUUGCGAAGGCAGCUGGCUACAGGUAUAUUGACACUGAGGCUCGAAAGCGUGGGGAUCAAACAGG
RNAcentral lists this ribosomal RNA (253 nucleotides) under uncultured bacterium. Its description in RNAcentral is "partial 16S ribosomal RNA". It matches the Rfam family "Bacterial small subunit ribosomal RNA", at positions 524 to 776 of the family's 1533-position model. The record is from RNAcentral.